This is a long non-coding RNA of Oncorhynchus keta (chum salmon), 721 nucleotides long. RefSeq lists it as uncharacterized. The transcript has 3 exons. The record is from RefSeq and is a predicted model, not a curated record. NCBI's taxonomy places the organism in Eukaryota, Metazoa, Chordata, Actinopteri, Salmoniformes, Salmonidae.
UUAAACUCCUAAACCUCACUCUCCUUAACCAACAUGCCAUUGUUGACGCUUGCAGGGCUGGUCCUCUUGAGGAGUCGUAUCCCGAGUCUGAAGCCCUCCUGAGCUGAGCCCUGGUGAGCCUUGUAAUUGCCCUGUUUUUACAGCUCAUGUUUGCGGCGUCCCACAAAUUUGAUUGGUACACUCCCUCUACUUGCACUGUGCCCACCCUUAUAGUGUUUGAUGAAAAACAGUCGCUGCAUGCAGGCCUCUAGGUCCUCCUGGUCCAGGGAGUGAUCCAGAGUGGAGGGAAACUGACCCCUUCCUGAACCUUGCUGGGCUGGACAACAUCCCCUGUGGCACCGGAACACUCAGCCCCAGCCUGCUGGCUGGGUUCAGCCUCCAGCUCAGUGGAAGAUCUUUUUAGCCUGGCCUUUUCCUGUCAGGACUUCCUCCCUGGAAGACGCUAGUAUAGGUUGUGCUCAUCUGGAUGCUACAACAGGGCCUUUUUGUGAGGAGUCAUACCUCAAUGGCAGGAGACCCAUCCCAAAACACUUCACUGAGUCGAACGGCUGAAGUGACGCAAGCCCCGUAUUUGUAAUAUCAUUAGACAUAACUCUGAUGAAAUCUGUGAAUGUAUUGAAAUGUUUUCUGAAUUGUACAACUACCUUAAUUCUGCUGGACCUUGGUGUCUUGGCAUCAGAUAAUGGGGAUCCAUAAUAAAUACCAAUACAAACUCUAGUCA